UUUAUGAUUUAUUUGUUUGAUUUAAUGUUGACUUUUUCCUAUAUGAUUUUCUUUUUCCUUCUUCCGUCCAGAAAUUGAGAUUUUGAAUUCAGUACUCAGCUUUUCACAAUUUGCAUAAUUUUAAUGUAAAUGUUUGCAUUUCUUGUUAACUUUUAUGCGGAUUUGGUUUCUGAUCCGAAUUAGUUUGAUAUUAAGGCCUAGUUG
RNAcentral lists this unclassified non-coding RNA (204 nucleotides) under Hevea brasiliensis (rubber tree). Lineage: Eukaryota; Viridiplantae; Streptophyta; Magnoliopsida; Malpighiales; Euphorbiaceae. The record is from RNAcentral.